RNAcentral lists this long non-coding RNA (272 nucleotides) under Mytilus galloprovincialis (Mediterranean mussel). Lineage: Eukaryota; Metazoa; Mollusca; Bivalvia; Mytilida; Mytilidae. The record is from RNAcentral.
CACAGAUAUUUACACAUAUUUACAAAGUGUGGAGGGGUGCUUUUAUGUUUAAAAUCAUUAUAUACAGGUUAGACUGUGAUUUAAAAACAAAUGUUGAUAUCUUUUUAUAAUAUUUACAAAAAAACGGUGCGGGAAAUGGACAUGAUUACAUUUCCGGAUGCGGGAAGCGGGAAUAUAAAAAAAAUAAAAAAAAUCUGUUUUGAAAAAAAUAGGUGCGGGCGGGUCCGUCGAACAAGGAAUCAAAUUGGUGUGGCCUUAAAACAAACUGCUAA